Molecule: ribosomal RNA, 279 nt
Filed under: Streptococcus pneumoniae
Lineage: Bacteria; Bacillati; Bacillota; Bacilli; Lactobacillales; Streptococcaceae
Description: partial 23S ribosomal RNA
Rfam family: Bacterial large subunit ribosomal RNA
Source: RNAcentral
CGGGCGUAGGAAAUUUGAGAGGAUCUGCUCCUAGUACGAGAGGACCAGAGUGGACUUACCGCUGGUGUACCAGUUGUUCUGCCAAGAGCAUCGCUGGGUAGCUAUGUAGGGAAGGGAUAAACGCUGAAAGCAUCUAAGUGUGAAGCCCACCUCAAGAUGAGAUUUCCCAUGAUUUUAUAUCAGUAAGAGCCCUGAGAGAUGAUCAGGUUGAUAGGUUAGAAGUGGAAGUGUGGUGACACAUGUAGCGGACUAAUACUAAUAGCUCGAGGACUUAUCCAA